Molecule: unclassified non-coding RNA, 208 nt
Filed under: rhizosphere metagenome
Description: partial ribosomal RNA internal transcribed spacer region
Source: RNAcentral
GUAGUCACCCGGGUUGCCGCAAGGCCUCUCGGGUAACCUACCACCCUUUGUUUAUUACACUUUGUUGCUUUGGCAAGCCUGCCCUCGGGCUGCUGGCUCCGGCCGGCGAGCGCUUGCCAGAGGACCCAAACUCUAAUGUUUCUUAUUGUAACUUCUGAGUAAAACAAACAAAUAAAUCAAAACUUUCAACAACGGAUCUCUUGGUUCU